UCCAGACUGGGCAACAAGAGUGACACUAAGUCUAAAAAAUAAAAUUAAAAUUAAAAAAGAAAGUUAUAAGGGGCUUACAUUUUAUAACUCAACAAGAAAAGCCAAAGUAUCUAUCCCUUUCAGAAAAUAAACAUGUAAUUUAAUUAUGUUCAUAACAAAUCAUUUAGUAAACAAUCAUAUGUGAACACUUCCAGGCGGUGCCAAGUCCCAGCUCCUAAAACUUAGCGUUACCCUCAAACACCCAGAUGACAGCAUAUGGAACAGAGAUACUCACUAUCAGAAGUUCUCUGUUUUGAAAAAAGAAUAACUGAUGUGAUAAAUUUAUGUAAUUUAACAAUUAAUCUACCUCACGUGCUUGUAGGUAUGUAUUCAUUUCGUACCACCGUAGUGGAAGAGAGACUAUCCCUAUCAAUACACCUGGUAACAUUCCCAACAGUAAGUCGUGAGAUUCUGCUUGAAAUCACCUCUCAGACAAAUAAAAAACAGUCCUGGGAAAUGUACGACACUCAUUCUGCUAAAGAAAUAGGGCAAGAAAGCUUUCUAAGACCCCGAACUCCAGAUAUGCGAUGGGGCAAAUCCUGAAGCGUACAUGGCUAUCUCUCACAGCUAAAGCAUCCCUCACCCCUAUCCAGCGCUUCUUACCCCUGGCGCAAGAGAAUCACCUGCGGGGAGGAAAACUUUCAAAAUCCCUUAAACCCAAGUUGUAACCGCACAACUAAAUCAGAAUCCUUGGAGCUGGAUCUGAAAAAAAUAUGGUUGAAAGUCGUGCAGGUGAUUACAAUGUGUAGGCAAGCCAGAAAACCAUGGCUUUAACGAGCAGCUUUUGUUAGAAAUGAUUUCUCCAAUGAAUGUGAAAACGUUUGCUGCUGAAUUGUGACCUUUCCAUUUUACCUGCUUUUCCUGCAAAGUAUAUUUUGCAGACCCAGGCUGGCUUCUCCUUCUGUUCCUGGUUCACCCAGUGCCGUGUGUGCUCAGUGCAUCCUGUGCACGGGUCACUGUGUGCCCUGGCCUGGGUGAGCAUCAUUCUUCGGGGAGAACCUUGAUGAAAACAAAGCUGCAUUCCAAAAAGUUAAAACCAUGCUACUUACUGUGUUGAAGUAAAAAUUAAAAGACCCAGGGGGGCUCACCCAAAAGUUAAAACAUAAAUAAAUAACUUGGAACAUUAACAUACACCUGAUGAUGUCCUGAGUGAACACGCCCCACUUGAAAACAAAACAAAACAUUGCUAUUAUUCUAAAAUAUUAAUUUAGGAUUGUUAUGCAAACAUGCACUCUUUACAUUUUUAUUGAUAAAUAACAUGCAUACAGCAAUAUAGGCACAAAGCAUUUAGGGAAUGUUUGAUGAAUUAUUACUAAAUAAAUACACUUGUGUAUCUAAGAAUCAGAUUUGUUCAUGCCCCUGACACUUUCCCCUUCCCAAAGGUAACCAAGACCUUAAGAGCUAAGUGUAGAUAAACUUUGUCAUUUUGUACAAGUGUUUUAUUACAGAUCACUAAAAACAUACACAAUACAAAAAAAGUAUAACAGACCAGUCACCCAGCUUUAACAGCUGCUAGUCAUGUGUCAUUUUUGUUUUAUCUAUACUUCCAGCCAUGCCCCCACCCCCAAUUUCAUUAUUUUUUAGGCUUUUUGGAUAAAAUGUAUAUUCAUUGCAAGGUACAAUGCGAACUGUAAAUAGUAGAGAGAUGGGGUUUUACCAUGUUGGUCAGGCUGUUCUUGAACUCCUGACCUCAGGUGAUCCACUCUCUUCCACCUCGCAAAGUGCUGGGAUUACAGGCGUGAGCCAAUAUACUCGGCCUGAGAAUUCAUAUUUCUAAUAAAGUACAAAUCCAUAGGGCACAUGACAACUGCAAUGUCUAUCUACAGUAAAAACAGUUUGAUGAAUAAAAUGAAAGGCAAUUGACUUAAGGUGGGAAAAAAACAAUCAAAGCAUGGGUACUAUGUGCCAUCUGUAGGAGCAUUUGGUUAAGAAUAACAAACAAACCAGUUUUAUUGUUUUAAUAACCGAAAUUGGCAAAAUUUCUAGUUUUUCUUUCAUAGGAAUGCUCUUAGCAAGAAAAAAUUUUCAUAUGGUGAGAGCAAAAAUGACAACCAUUUGCAAGUAAAUGUCUUAUGAAAUUAAGUAGCAGAUAUCAAGCUCAUGACCUUCAGAUUGUUACCCCUAACUCAAUCAUUUACAUAGCAAGUGCAGAUAAUUUUCAUAGUUCCCCAUUAAAAUUAUACUUUACUCCCCUUACAAAUUGUGACUGUUUUUAAAUAAAGUUCACUAACUAAAAUUUUGUAUAUGACAUAUGAUAAAUUUCCCUUCAAGUCACCUUAUAUUUACUUAAUUGUGUUAGCCAGUGUCUGUCUACCUCCCAACAAUACUUUGGGAUUCUCCCUCCAUUUGCACAGGCAUCAUAGCUGGGGAACAGGGAUUCAAAAGACCCAGGCUGUUCCCUACAUAUGUUUCCUCCUCAGACAUCAGUUAAUCAGUCAAUCAAGUCAAGUGAGAGUGGAGGCCAUGUAUUCCCUCUUAUUCUUGGGCACUCUCCUCCAAGGAGGAAAAGGCCAGGAGGUCCUGUUAGAGGAUGCACUCUGAGAGCCCGGGCUCCCUAAGGUAUGAGAGUUCUAACCAGCAGGUGUAGACUUUUCAGGAGUGAGGAAUGAGGCAGGCAUUCCAAACCUGGAGCUUCAUCACCUUUUGUUUCAUCUCAAGACAAUUCUGAGGGGCUGUUUUGGAGCGUGUCUGGAAGGUGAACGUUGAAGAAGAGUGUGGGCUUUGAUGUGACUCAGAUGAGAUCUUUCAUGGGGAGGCAGGAAUUCAAUGCCCAGAAUCUGGGCUGGUGUCUUUGAGGUCAGUAGGUUGCCUCUUUGUAUCCAAGUCCAUUGUUACUAAAUUGGAGGCUGGAGAUUCUAAAUGGCUUCCAGACCAUCUCUCUGAUUCUCUUUGGGAGAUUGGGUCUGAAAAAGACAAUGUCAGUAUUUUUGGGAAAUUCUAGAAAGUCUGCUUGGAAACCUGGGAAGACCUCUUGCCUAGUGCCUAAAUAUUCAAUGUGCAGCUCUAGCCAUGUAGAUGCUUGGUAGGUAUAGAGCUGGGUUUUCAUUUAUAUCAGCAAAACCUAUGUCAGAGUUGAAGAAGUAGUCAAGACAAAGUGUCUUGGUCGCAGGCCGGGGAACAUCUUAAAAGCAAACUUCUAGCCUGAUGACUCUUGGCAAUGAGUGUUGGGUCCUGGCUAAAGUGCCUUGAAUGCAGCAUGAGGCCAAUCCAUGAAUCCAACUUCCAAUGGAGAAAUGUUAAUAUUUUUUCAGUUUGAAUCAAUCAGGGUGAAAUUACCUUGCUAUUGGUUUGCUUACUUUUUAUUAUUUCAUAUAAAAUCUAAGACAAAAUACAUUAAAUGCUUAUUGAUAUAUGUAUUUAUUCUUCACCUGGCUCAUAAUAUUUGCCUAAUUUUAAACUUUCUUCUAUUUUGUAGGUUUCAACUUAUUUCAUUGUAAGAUAUUGUUAAAUCUAAUACGGGCAUUGUCACUUUUACAAAUAAUUUUAUUUUAUUUCAUGUAUUUCCUAUUCACUUUUUACAUUUAAAUUAUGGACCAUUUCAUCAUAUAAAAAGCUCCAUUUCUAUUUUAAAAAUAAGUCUUUGGGUUUUUUUGUCUUGUAAUUUCCAUAUUACAUAGUAAUGAGAUAAACGUUAAUGUUUUCAGGGUAUUUUAAAUUUUAAAUAAUUACUCAUUAUAUCCACGUGAAAUUUGUUUUUACUGCAUGUGUGAGUUGGAGAACCGUUUUCACUUCUGACUCAUCUUUACUGUGAUCUCCUCAGAACUCAUACCUCUUGUAGUUGGGAGAUUGCAGUAUAUAAUUCCAAUAAAUGGGGCAAAUUCAAUAAUAACAUAAUACAAAUGAGUUUGAAAGCAGGACAUGUCUUCAAAGCAUACACAACAUGGGCCUAUAUAUGUACAACAAUAAUAAUUUAUAAGUUACAGUUUGGAUGGGAAUUAAAAGUACAGAAAAUUUGUUAAAAUAAAUUAAAAUGGAGAUCACGUCUCAAUAAUCUCUGAGCAGACGAAAUUAGUUAGGUCUCAUAAGUGAUCUCAACCUUGCUUGAUUUGCAAAUACAAGCAAAACUUAAAUAUUUCUUGUAGCUGCCUAUUUAAAAAAGAGAAAUGAAGCUCAACCAAUCAGGAGUAGCCAACAUCCUUAUAUAAAUAGAAACUGUCCAACAAGAUAAACAGACGAACAAAAAACAAUAAAAAAGUUGUGCUACCACCAAUCAAAUGAUUUUUUUGUUUCUACAUUUUUUCAAUAAAUACUUGCUUCUUACUCUGUCAGAGAAGCACUAAAUAACUUUUGGUCUGAUAUUUUAUAAUUUAUCAAUUGCUCUUACUCAAAUAGACACUUGGCAAUUUCAUUGUGUCUCAAAUUACUUUUUAGCAGAAUAAAAUAAACUAGGAAUAAACAUUACAAAAAUGUGUACAGAAUAUGAGAAAAA
Molecule: long non-coding RNA, 4468 nt
Organism: Homo sapiens (human)
Lineage: Eukaryota; Metazoa; Chordata; Mammalia; Primates; Hominidae
Gene: CH507-145C22.1
Exons: 2
Source: RefSeq, a predicted model, not a curated record